CAAAAGCCUUUGUACUCCUAAGUCGUUUUAGAUGAUAGGAAUUUCAAAUCAAUGAUCGGAACCAUUAAAAUUGAUUUAGAGUAUUUAUAACGUUUAUAAACUAAAUUUCAUAAAUUUUAAAAUUUAUUCUCAAAUUCAUUGAAGAGUAAAAAAAAUAAACAAUCAGAAACAAAUAAUCUUGCAAAAAUAAAUAUCAGAGUUUUUCAAUUAAUAAUCGGAGUUAUCAAGCUAUUUGAAUUGUUCCACAUCAUUAAAUAAGCAAACGGCUCAUAUAGAUCGUAAAAAAAAUUAUCGAUUUUGUGAUCUUUUGAUCACUAUGUAAAUAAUAAUUUUUAAAAUUCAUAAAAUUUCAGUUCCAGACACUUUCUACCGUUUGGUUCGGGGUUAAGGAAAAACUAGUUACUCCAGGAAUAGGGUUAAGUUCAGGGUUAAUGUGGAAUUAAAGUAUUUUUGUGUUUGGUUGAGAAUUGAAGUUAGUCAAGAAUUAAAGAAAAUAGUGUUUAGUUGGAGUAGGUGGGAUAAGAAGGAUAGUGGGUAAAAUAGGGUAUGUUUGUUUCAACGUAAGUAGACUUGAGGUGAAAGUGGACUUUGGGUUGAAGUAGAGUUGGGGUGAAAAUUAGUUUACUUCUGCUGUUUGUUUCUAACUAUGGAAGUGCAGUUCUGUUGUUUGUUUGGUAGGAAGUAGAUGACGUAAAAAGUAUAGCUCUUCACCCCCUUGUAUACUUACCUCCAAAGUAAUAUUAUUGUCUAUUUUGUAACUUAUAGUGAAUAAUAAAUUAUAAUAAAUAAAAAUUAAUAUAAUUAUAUAUGUAUAUAAUUAUAUAUAUGUAUAAUUAUAAAAUAAAAUUUUAAAAAAUUAGAUUAUUUGUUUGCAUAUAAAUUAUAAUAAUGCAACAAAUAAAAUUCUAAAGUUAAAAAAUUAUUAACAUUUAACAAAUUCAUUUUUCAUCAUUUUCUAAAUAUAUAUAUUAAACAAAAAAUAUAUUAAAACUUACCUAACCAAAUUUGAUCAUAUUUUAGACAUAUAAUCAAAAUAAAAAAUUUAAUUACUUCUACAAUUGAAUAUAUUUGGAUAAAAGGGUAGAGAAGAGGUAACCCUAAUACAUUAAUCCCACUCUUGCCUUUUUUCACUUCACCGAAAUUGACUUCGCCCCGUGGGAGGGCGAAGUCAAUUUCAUUAUUUUGGAUGAACUGGACUUUCGGGCGUAAUAAAAUUACGGUGAACCAAACAACGGAAGUGGGCAGUUUUCAUCGAAAAUUACUUCCUCCUUCCCACUUCCACCCCACUUUCGUGCAAACAAACAGGCCCAUCGUGUUUUGUUUGGUUGGAGUAGUG
Molecule: long non-coding RNA, 1336 nt
Filed under: Ananas comosus (pineapple)
Lineage: Eukaryota; Viridiplantae; Streptophyta; Magnoliopsida; Poales; Bromeliaceae
Description: long non-coding RNA (ACOM_LNC028790)
Source: RNAcentral